This 404-nucleotide ribosomal RNA is filed under the name uncultured microorganism. RNAcentral describes it as "bacterial SSU rRNA". It matches the Rfam family "Archaeal small subunit ribosomal RNA", at positions 330 to 735 of the family's 1478-position model. The record is from RNAcentral.
GCGCAGCAGUCGCGAAAACUUCACACUGUGCGAAAGCACGAUGAGGGAAUCCCAAGUGCUUGCACGUAAGUGUAAGCUGUUUCUCUGUCUAAAACGCAGAGAGAGUAAGGGCUGGGUAAGACGGGUGCCAGCCGCCGCGGUAAUACCUGCAGCUCAAGUGGUGACCGUUAUUAUUGGGCCUAAAACGUCCGUAGCCGGUUUAAUAAAUGCCUGGGUAAAUUGUGUAGCUUAACUAUACGAAUUCCGGGUAGACUGUUAAACUUGAGACCGGGAGAAGUUAGAGGUACUCCUGGGGUAGAGGUGAAAUUCUGUAAUCCUAGGGGGACCACCAGUGGCGAAGGCGUCUAACUAGAACGGGUCUGACGGUGAGGGACGAAGCCCUGGGGCGCAAACGGGAUUAGAUA